ACCGCGGUAGCCCAGUUGGUUAAGGCGUCGGCAGUACUGAUGGCGAAGGUCGCAAGUUCAAAUCCUGCCUGCGGUG
Molecule: non-coding RNA, 76 nt
Organism: Phthorimaea operculella (potato tuberworm)
Lineage: Eukaryota; Metazoa; Arthropoda; Insecta; Lepidoptera; Gelechiidae
Source: the annotation of a GenBank genome assembly